ACCAGUUACAACACUCUGACCAAAGAGAGAGACCAGCUCCAGAAAGAGACAGAACUUCUGAAACAAUCUUUAGUUGAGAAAGGAUGGAAGAAGCUUGGUAGCAGUUGUUACUACGUCUCUACUGAGAAAAAAUCCUGGGAGGAGAGCAGACAGGACUGCAGAAAUGGAGGAGCAGACCUGGUCGUCAUCAACAGCCAAGAGAAACAGACAUUAGUCAAUUGGUUAUGUGGAGUAAAGAACUAUGUCUGGAUUGGUCUGACUGACUCUGUUACUGAGGGGACCUGGAAAUGGGUGGACGACACACCACUGACCACAAAGUAUUGGAACAGUAAAGAGCCUAAUGGUGGUCGAGCAGAGAACUGUGUGUAUUUCUACUCCAGGUCAUCAGACACAGGAGCUUGGUGGGACUAUUACUGUUACUAUCAAUACAGAUGGAUCUGUGAGAAAUAGGAUUCAUCCUCAGUACUCUCUGAACUGCCAAAUAACAUUAUGCUAAGUACUAUCAAUCGUAAACUAUUUUCUGCUCAUUCAACUUACCUUGUAAAGUACAUACAAUAUAUAACAAGACAAAUGUAUAACACAUUAUAAUAAAAACAUAUGCAAUAACAAUACAAUGAAUUGAUAACAGAAAGACUGUUCUGUCUGUUGUUGAUGAAAUUCACCACUAAGGACAAAAAAUCCAAGGAAAUGAAUCAAUCUUUAUUAUCACAGUCAUGGAAUUUAUUGAUGUUAAUUUUUAUUUUAAUUACUUUUUAUUUUUGUCUACUUGGUAAAUAUUAUAUUAUUAUAUUAUAUAAUAUAUUCUUAACUCUUCUUGCACUGCACUUUUAGUCCUGUUGCGUCGAGCCAUCCCGGAUCCGGGAUCGUGAAUACAGCCUCAAGCUCAUUACC
Oncorhynchus tshawytscha (Chinook salmon) is the source of this 891-nucleotide long non-coding RNA. RefSeq lists it as uncharacterized. The record is from RefSeq and is a predicted model, not a curated record. NCBI's taxonomy places the organism in Eukaryota, Metazoa, Chordata, Actinopteri, Salmoniformes, Salmonidae. The transcript is spliced from 4 exons.